GGGGAUGAAAGGUUUCGACGGAGGUGGAUAGUCGCAAGCUGCAAGCCGAGAGCCGCCGACCUCGCAAAAUCAGCGGAACCAAAAAGUGCCAAAAGCACAGACUUUGCAGCGCUGCCGGUUGCUGCCUAGCAGCCAUCGAUAGCCUGCGGUCCUUGACAAAAGGACCCGCCACCCUGCGCAGCGCCCGACCGGCGUAGGUCAUGGCGUCAGAAUGGACGGGCUGCGGUUGAGGGAAGCUGCGACCUCAGCCUAAGAGGGGCCUUUGGGUCUCAGCAGCUGGCCAUCCGAAGGUUCUGUCGCUCGUACCUCGGAUGGCGAGACACAACGAUCGACUAAGCUUGUAGAUGCUUGUAGACCGAAGCUUUCGGACGCGGGUUCGAUUCCCGCCAUCUCCACCA
RNAcentral lists this transfer-messenger RNA (398 nucleotides) under Chloroflexota bacterium. Its description in RNAcentral is "Chloroflexi bacterium (marine metagenome) transfer-messenger RNA". It matches the Rfam family "transfer-messenger RNA". Rfam says of the family: Bacterial tmRNA, also known as 10Sa RNA or SsrA, is named for its dual tRNA and mRNA-like properties. Its role is to liberate the mRNA from a stalled ribosome. The record is from RNAcentral. Lineage: Bacteria; Bacillati; Chloroflexota.